Long non-coding RNA from Spodoptera frugiperda (fall armyworm), 776 nucleotides. RefSeq lists it as uncharacterized. The transcript has 4 exons. The record is from RefSeq and is a predicted model, not a curated record. NCBI's taxonomy places the organism in Eukaryota, Metazoa, Arthropoda, Insecta, Lepidoptera, Noctuidae.
GUAAGCUGUAGCAACUCUUGUAUUUUAAAUAUAAUGUCCUUAUUAUAAAUGUUACAUAAUGUUUCAAACAAUUCUCGCUGUUGGUAAUUUGCAUGAUAAUUUUGUGAUCCCCUGUUUCGAAAGGUAAUACUCAUAAAUCAUUUUCGCUCACCGUGUCCUGAAAACAUUGAACAUAUUAAGGAGGCGAUAGAAAUGUACCCAAUUGUAUUGGUUAAUGGACCCAUUCAUCGCGCCACUAGUUGCAAUUGCAAAAUUGACUUAUAAAAUAAUCGAAGGAGUUAUAAGAGCUGUAAUUGAUGGACUUAUUUUAGUUGCGUGCUACUUUGCACUCGGAGCCACCGCCGUGAUACUUGGAAUCUUAUUUUUAAGAAGGAGGAAACGCCAUCCUUGUCCCUCUCGCUCCGCAUCAUGGCCUGAACUAGGGCCAAACGCCAGAGGUCGCCGUCGCCGAUCACAACCCUGAGGUCACGGCAGUGCUCAGCCAAUGCAGGUCACACCGCCACCAUAUGCUCCGCCGUAUCCUCCGGGUGAUCUUCGCAGUGAUGACACCUGGGCGUUUCCAUCCCGUCCAAUCAGAACCAUGUAUCUCCCGAAACUUCUGUGUCCGGUUUGGUCAUUGCAGUCGUGAAAAUUGUUUGCCAGAGCCCACCGUUGCCUCCUGUAUGGCAGUGGCUGGAAUUACGAUGAUCGCGUAUGUUGCUUACGUCUUGUUUACCAAAUGGUUCUGAAUUUACUAUGUAUCUUAUUUGUCACUAUUCUAAUGUCAUUAAAGUAAG